Molecule: ribosomal RNA, 253 nt
Filed under: uncultured bacterium
Lineage: Bacteria
Description: partial 16S ribosomal RNA
Rfam family: Bacterial small subunit ribosomal RNA
Source: RNAcentral
UACGUAGGGUGCGAGCGUUGUCCGGAAUUAUUGGGCGUAAAGGGCUCGUAGGCGGUUUGUCGCGUCGGGAGUGAAAACCCAGGGCUUAACCCUGGGCUUGCUUUCGAUACGGGCAGACUAGAGGUAUGCAGGGGAGAACGGAAUUCCUGGUGUAGCGGUGAAAUGCGUAGAGAUCCGGAGGAACACCAGUGGCGAAGGCGACACGCUGGGCCGUACCUGACACUGAUGCGCGACAGCAUGGGGAGCAAACAGG